AGACACAAGAGGAAUAUAUAAGGCAUAAUCAUAUUGUAAGAUAAGCACUUUUUAAGCUGGAAGACAGGUGCUUGUGUCUGCUUGUACUUGGAACCAAAUCUGGAUCACAUCUCUCAAGAAAAUAAAGGGGUAAGAGGACUAACAUCAUCCAUAAUAUCCUGUAUCUUUCUUGACUGAAGGUCAGAUUUUUGUCCUUGAGUCCUUAUCUUUUCCUAAUCAUGGGAAUCAUGGCAAGCUACCUGUUCUACCUGCUCCCAGCAGUAGGGGGCUAUGCUCUCACAUCAGUUUACUUUCUGAAGAAUCCCCAUAUUCUACACAAGAAGCAGACGGCCUUCCAUUGCACCCAUAUCUCUCAUAGGGGAGGCUGUGGUGAAAGGAUUGAGAACACCAUGGAGGCCUUCACGCAGUGAUUGGGAUGCUGGUCUCACAUCAGUUUUGCUGAGCUUGUGAACCCAAAAUUUAUAUGGACACUUAAGUCACACUUAAAGGAAUUGUUCACCCAAAAAUGAAAAAUAUUCUCAUUAUUUACUCACCCUCAUGG
Myxocyprinus asiaticus (Chinese sucker) is the source of this 541-nucleotide long non-coding RNA. RefSeq lists it as uncharacterized. NCBI's taxonomy places the organism in Eukaryota, Metazoa, Chordata, Actinopteri, Cypriniformes, Catostomidae. The record is from RefSeq and is a predicted model, not a curated record. The transcript is spliced from 3 exons.